UACGUAGGGGGCAAGCGUUGUCCGGAUUUAUUGGGCGUAAAGAGCGUGUAGGCGGCCAUACAGGUCAGCUGUGAAAACUCGAGGCUCAACCCCGAGACGUCGGUUGAAACCGUAUGGCUAGAGUCCGGAAGAGGAGAGUGGAAUUCCCGGUGUAGCGGUGAAAUGCGCAGAUAUCGGGAAGAACACCCGUGGCGAAGGCGGCUCUCUGGGACGGUACUGACGCUGAGACGCGAAAGCGUGGGGAGCGAACAGG
Molecule: ribosomal RNA, 253 nt
Filed under: uncultured bacterium
Lineage: Bacteria
Description: partial 16S ribosomal RNA
Rfam family: Bacterial small subunit ribosomal RNA
Source: RNAcentral